UUUGAUUGCCUUUCUGUCUCCUCUGUCUGGGGGUUAUAGUGCUGGAGAGCACUGCCAGGGGCUUACGAGGUGAGAGAGGAUGGAGCACUGUUGAUUAGAUUCACAUUCUUCCUCUCUCUGCAUGCUUUGAUUUCUCUACCCACCUGUUUUAUCAUUAGAUCAUUUUUAUCUUCCAUGAGGAGGAGCUGGAACCAAUUUCUGAAAUCCUGGAGAAGCUGUGUUGUCAUGAGAUCCCGGAAAUCCUGACCUCUUCCUCUGGGUGAUGAUGACAGGGGUGUCGUUGAUUUACUAUCCACCCAUGGAACCAUCAUAUGGAUUUCUAAACCCACAUGCCAGCAAAAAAAGAAAGAAACCAUGUGGUACACAAC
RNAcentral lists this long non-coding RNA (368 nucleotides) under Crocodylus porosus (Australian saltwater crocodile). Its description in RNAcentral is "lncRNA (ENSCPRG00005001277.1)". The record is from RNAcentral. Lineage: Eukaryota; Metazoa; Chordata; Crocodylia; Crocodylidae.